This 526-nucleotide ribosomal RNA is filed under the name Alternaria solani. RNAcentral's name for it is "eukaryotic LSU rRNA". The stretch from base 180 to 333 matches the Rfam family "5.8S ribosomal RNA". Lineage: Eukaryota; Fungi; Ascomycota; Dothideomycetes; Pleosporales; Pleosporaceae. The record is from RNAcentral.
AUCAUUACACAAAUAUGAAGGCGGGCUGGCACCUCCCGGGGUGGCCAGCCCUUGCUGGAUUAUUCCACCCGUGUCUUUUGCGUACUUCUUGUUUCCUUGGUGGGCUCGCCCACCACAAGGACCAACCCAUAAACCUUUUUGCAAUGGCAAUCAGCGUCAGUAACAAUGUAAUAAUUUACAACUUUCAACAACGGAUCUCUUGGUUCUGGCAUCGAUGAAGAACGCACCGAAAUGCGAUAAGUAGUGUGAAUUGCAUAAUUCAGUGAAUCAUCGAAUCUUUGAACGCACAUUGCGCCCUUUGGUAUUCCAAAGGGCAUGCCUGUUCGAGCGUCAUUUGUACCCUCAAGCUUUGCUUGGUGUUGGGCGUCUUUUUGUCUCCCCUUGCGGGAGACUCGCCUUAAAGUCAUUGGCAGCCGGCCUACUGGUUUCGGAGCGCAGCACAAGUCGCGCUCUCUUCCAGCCCCAAGGUCUAGCAUCCACCAAGCCUUUUUUUUCAACUUUUGACCUCGGAUCAGGUAGGGAUACC